GCUUGAGAUCCUUAUUCCUAUCUCAUUCAAUAGCGUCUAGGGUUUCACGCCCUUUUCGUCUCGUCUUCAGUUUGAGAUCUCGUUCUUCUCGCCUUUGGUUACAGAUCUUGUUCUCCUCUUUCUAGUUAAACGUUUUUCUCUAUAAGAUCUGUAUAGAUCCGAUGGAGAUCUACAUCCCGAUGGUGGUUUCGUUCAGAUCUGAGACUUCGUGCGCCAGAUCUACUGUCCAGAGGUUUGACGGCGAAGCGCUGAACAGAUCGUAGAUCCGGUUCUUAAUUAUGAUGUUGCCGAUUUCGUGAUAAUUCUGAUGCUUCAGCCUUUGAUUCUACCUAUAAACAAGAUGCUGUUAUGAAGAAUUGAUCAAGAUUGAUGUCUUCCAGAAACUUCUUGUAUACAUGAUGCAGAUGCAGAUCUUCGAUUUUGUAAUUAUGUAUAUGAUGAUGAUUGGGAGCUAUGCGGGGGGAUUAUAAUGGAUGUAGGAUAUAUCAGGAUUUUAUGCCUCGAUUCGCUGAGCGUUUCGAGGAUUGAGUCCUGGGCGAUCUUGUCAUCCGACCUUUGCCAUGUCAGGUGCGCUUGCUUGGCAGGUCAAAAAAUAAUAAUAAAAAAAGAUUUAUUGGUUUUUGAGAGAGAUCGCACGGGGUUUUGCCCGGGAUCUGCUCUCGUGUGGUGUGUGCCUUGCUUCUUUCCCUUAUGUCUCUUUAUUUUACUUGUCUCGCUCAACAAUCGAUAUCUACAAUACAUAGCAACAAAACAUAGCAACGAUACGUAGCACAACUCUCUGCACGGAACGGAUUCAUUGAAGAUUUGCUCCACUUCCUAACGAGGUAUUGUCUAAUAAAUUUUCAGUAAGAUCUGGAAUCGUUUCAUCCUUUUAAAUAUUUUCAUUUAAUUAAUUACGCAAUUAAAAUCAAUUUGAAAUGGUGAAAUAGUUAAUUUUAAUAAAUCUUUUAAUUUAAUUAUUUUGAAAUUUAUUUAACUAAUUUGAAAAGCUUCAGUUCAAGUAUUUUUAACUUAUAUAUUGUAAAUUUUAUUUGCGAAUGUAUCAUACAACAUUAUUGUUUUAUUCAUAAGCAACUUUCUCCAUGCUCACACCCGUCGUUAUCCGUAAAUUAAAAUAAAUUAAAUUAAGUUUAACCAUUCAAUGUCAUUCCUAAGUGUUUCCGCCGCCUUGUCUAUAAUUGUGUAAAUUUUUUAUAUUUUCAUAUAUUUAGAUUAGAAGUGGAACAUUUAAAAGAAGUAUUUUGUAAUAGUGUAGAGGAGACAUACUUCAUGAGAUCUAUUGUUUUCAUAUAUUUUCUUAAAUGUAAAUAUAAAUUGGAGUCACAGCUUUGGCUGUGUCGUUAUUUGUAAACUAAAAUGAUAAUUAUAGACCUGUUGCCGAAGCGACGAUCUUGUUGGACCAUAUGUUCUCAGGGAGAAAUCUGUAUAUAUUGAUCGAUAUAGUUGUGGAUACUUCGGUGGUCUUGGUCGUUGUAUUCAUUUAGUCCAAGAGCUCGACGACAUCUCAAAGAAACUGCAGUGUGGAUUGAUGCGAUGCUGUGGAUCUAGGAUUGCCUAUUAAUACUCCCAUUCAAAGACUCGCCAUUUAUUAAGGUGAAGAUGACCUCGGCUCUCUCAUUUAUGCUGAUAAACAAUUAUAGGUCAUGUGUAUUAUUCAUUAAUUAAUUAGUAAUUUAUUAAUCAGUAAUUUAGUUAUGCAUUUUUUUCGGCUGUUACAUUAUGGUUAUAUAUUAUUAGUGUUGAUUUUUUUUAAGCUCAAUUUUUUGAUUCAAUGUUGUGAAGCCUCGGAUGACUAGUAAAUAAUUCUAUGGUUUGCUCUAGAACUAGGAGUCGUCUCAGAUUCAUGUGCAGGAUUGAAUUUCAUUUAGUUGAUUAUUUGAUUUCGUCUUUUUCUUAUUCUGGAUCUGGGAUUCAAUGAUAAUUGGUUUAUAUAUUA
Molecule: long non-coding RNA, 1936 nt
Organism: Cicer arietinum (chickpea)
Lineage: Eukaryota; Viridiplantae; Streptophyta; Magnoliopsida; Fabales; Fabaceae
Source: RefSeq, a predicted model, not a curated record